Molecule: unclassified non-coding RNA, 261 nt
Filed under: Hevea brasiliensis (rubber tree)
Lineage: Eukaryota; Viridiplantae; Streptophyta; Magnoliopsida; Malpighiales; Euphorbiaceae
Source: RNAcentral
AAGUUAGUGGUUUAAUGUUAAUAAUUCAAUUACUUGGGGGGUUAAAGGAGAUAUCCUUGAAUUAAUUAGUGGGUUAUUUUUAUCAUCUUUUAUACUUAAUUAUAUGACAAUUAGGGUAAAAGAAAAAGGGUUUGAAUAAGAAAAAUAGAAAGAACAGAGAGAAAGGGAGAAACGAACGAGAGAAGGGAGAACGAAGAGGAAAACAAAAAGGCUUGGGAAAUAGAUUGCUUGAUCACGAUUCUUCGGUGGAGGUAGGUUAUG